Molecule: long non-coding RNA, 1740 nt
Organism: Beta vulgaris subsp. vulgaris (sugar beet)
Lineage: Eukaryota; Viridiplantae; Streptophyta; Magnoliopsida; Caryophyllales; Amaranthaceae
Exons: 2
Source: RefSeq, a predicted model, not a curated record
UUGAAGCCCAAACAAAACAAAAAGGCCUAGCACUAUUCUUCUCCAAAAAUCAGAAAAUUAAAACACAAAGUAAAAGAAAAGCAAUAACUCCAUCUUCUUCCUCAUCCAUACGUGGAAGGACAAGAAUGGAGAUUGCUCAACAAAGUCAAAAACUAUCUCAGUAAACUUAAUUGAGAUUUCACUCUCUCAACCACCCUUAAUCCAGCGGUUUUUCUCAAAACCCCUGAAUUUAGCCACUUGAUUUCUUGAAUUCCAUGGACUCAAAUGGUCUUGGUAAUUUAAAAUUCUGAAAAUCAUCUACUGAGAUGAGGAUUUCUCUAUAAAUAGGGAAGAAUGGUUGAGUUUUCAAUCACAAAAUCAACAACAAUAAUUCAGAAAUUUACAUCAACUAAAAGAAUUUGGAAUCAAAAUUUCAAUUUCUUCACUUCUCUGUUUUCCCUCUGUUCGACCACCGCGCACCACCACCUGAAUUCCUCCCUGUCGCCCGCCGCCACCGUCAUACUGCCCCACCCACCUGCCGACCUCUCCUCCACCGCGGAACGCCGUCGCCCAGCCAGCACCCACCACUUCCCCUCCUUCCUCGUUGCUCUUCCUCCCCCGCCAUCCCUCUCUCGCCCCACUUUCUCUCUCCUCUGCGCGACACCACCGCUUCACCACACAUCAUCACUCGCCUUCUCUGCCGCCGCCCCCCUUCCGCCCUUCGCUGCCGCGAGUUUCCGGCCACCGCAGGCCCUCCGUCGCGGUUCAAGGACCCACAUCUUUCAUCCCCUGCUUCUUUCCUUGUGCGUGAGUGUGUGUUGUGAAGGAAAAUCAGUUUUCCUUAUUCUGGAACUCGUUCCUCGGAGCUCGGUAAGGACGAUAUCAAGGACAUAAGAAGAGGAUUAUUAUUAUUAUUCUGCAAUCAAGGUAACAACUGAUGCUGGUACCCGCAAUUCCUUUGAAAUGCGUUUUUUUUUAUAAUAUGCUACUGCGAUGAUGGUUUUUUUUGAUUACGUAUCCUGAGAUUUAUAUAAUUCUAAAAGACUGAAAGAUACUGAGAUACAGAGGUAUACUGAUCACUGGAAAUGAUAUUGUUUAUGAAAUAUUGAUGGAAGUUACUGUAAUACACUGAUCAUUGUUAAAAUAAAAGAAACGUAACAUGAUAAAGUAAAGUGAAAGAACUGGUUGGUUGUACCUACUGACUAACUGAAGGUCGUGCCAUACCGUACUAUUUACUGGGGCACUGCCCCGCUACUGUUUACUGGGGCACUGGCCCACUACUGUUUACUGGUGUAGGGUAAUGCCCGGGGCCAAGGCCCUUGCGCAGUGGUGCAUACACAUACUGGGAGACGUCCCAGCACUAACUGAUGUGCAUCAACCAGAGUAAAAAUUGAUGAAAUUGAAUCAUGGAAUAUUAAAGUGAAUUGAUUGAAUAUUGUUUUCAUAAAUGUUUGAAUUAUUCUUUCUCCCUGUUUUGUAAAUAAAAUGAAUUGAAAUGAGUUUACGUUGCUAGGGUAGUUUGUUACUGAGCCUCGGCUCAUAACGUUUUGUAUUUAUGUUUUAGGUACUGCUGGACGAUGGGACUGCGUAGUGGCAAGGAUUACCACCUUAUUAAAUCAUCUAGUAAUAGUGCUACUAACUUGUAAGGUUAACUUAACUAGAAUGUAAGACCAUAUACUUUAAUAUAAGUUAUCGUUGUUAUGUCAGGUAACGUUAACGUUGUCUACUUUAAUAUAAUAUAAGAUGUCUAAGUUAUCACUA